Molecule: ribosomal RNA, 253 nt
Filed under: uncultured bacterium
Lineage: Bacteria
Description: partial 16S ribosomal RNA
Rfam family: Bacterial small subunit ribosomal RNA
Source: RNAcentral
UACGUAGGGGGCAAGCGUUAUCCGGAUUUACUGGGUGUAAAGGGAGCGUAGGUGGUUUGGUAAGUCAGAAGUGAAAGCCCGGGGCUCAACCUCGGGACUGCUUUUGAAACUAUCGAACUAGAGUGCAGGAGGGGUAAGUGGAAUUCCUAGUGUAGCGGUGAAAUGCGUAGAUAUUAGGAGGAACACCAGUGGCGAAGGCGGCUUACUGGACUGUAACUGACACUGAGGCUCGAAAGCGUGGGGAGCAAACAGG